AGCGAACGCUGGCGGCAGGCCUAACACAUGCAAGUCGAACGAACCUUUCGGGGUUAGUGGCGGACGGGUGAGUAACACGUGGGAACGUGCCUUUAGGUUCGGAAUAACUCAGGGAAACUUGUGCUAAUACCGAAUGUGCCCUUCGGGGGAAAGAUUUAUCGCCUUUAGAGCGGCCCGCGUCUGAUUAGCUAGUUGGUUGAGGUAAUGGCUCACCGAGGCGACGAUCAGUAGCUGGUCUGAGAGGAUGAUCAGCCACAUUGGGACUGAGACACGGCCCAAAAUCCUACGGGAGGCAGCAGUGGGGAAUCUUGCGAAAGGGGCGAAAGCCUGACGCAGCCAUGCCGGGUGAAUGAUGAAGGUCUUAGGAUUGUAAAAUUCUUUCACCGGGGACGAUAAUGACGGUACCCGGAGAAGAAGCCCCGGCUAACUUCGUG
This 434-nucleotide ribosomal RNA is filed under the name uncultured bacterium. RNAcentral's name for it is "partial 16S ribosomal RNA". It matches the Rfam family "Bacterial small subunit ribosomal RNA", at positions 29 to 507 of the family's 1533-position model. The record is from RNAcentral.